Molecule: ribosomal RNA, 1084 nt
Filed under: Acinetobacter baumannii
Lineage: Bacteria; Pseudomonadati; Pseudomonadota; Gammaproteobacteria; Moraxellales; Moraxellaceae
Description: bacterial LSU rRNA
Rfam family: Bacterial large subunit ribosomal RNA
Source: RNAcentral
GUUGUAUAGUCAAGUAAUUAAGUGCAUGUGGUGGAUGCCUUGGCAGUCAGAGGCGAUGAAAGACGUGAUAGCCUGCGAAAAGCUCCGGGGAGGCGGCAAAUAUCCUUUGAUCCGGAGAUGUCUGAAUGGGGGAACCCACCUACUUUAAGGUAGGUAUUGCAACAUGAAUACAUAGUGUUGCAAGGCGAACGAGGGGAAGUGAAACAUCUCAGUACCCUUAGGAAAAGAAAUCAAUUGAGAUUCCCUCAGUAGCGGCGAGCGAACGGGGAUCAGCCCAUUAAGUUAUGUGUGUUUUAGUGGAACGCUCUGGGAAGUGCGAACGUAGAGGGUGAUAUUCCCGUACACGAAAGGGCACACAUAAUGAUGACGAGUAGGGCGAGGCACGUGAAACCUUGUCUGAAUAUGGGGGGACCAUCCUCCAAGGCUAAAUACUCCUGACUGACCGAUAGUGAACCAGUACCGUGAGGGAAAGGCGAAAAGAACCCCUGUGAGGGGAGUGAAAUAGAUCCUGAAACCGCAUGCAUACAAGCAGUGGGAGCACCUUCGUGGUGUGACUGCGUACCUUUUGUAUAAUGGGUCAGCGACUUAUAUUCAGUAGCGAGGUUAACCGUAUAGGGGAGCCGUAGAGAAAUCGAGUCUUAAUAGGGCGUUUAGUUGCUGGGUAUAGACCCGAAACCAGGCGAUCUAUCCAUGAGCAGGUUGAAGGUUGGGUAACACUAACUGGAGGACCGAACCCACUGUCGUUGAAAAGCCAGGGGAUGACUUGUGGAUAGGGGUGAAAGGCUAAUCAAGCCUGGUGAUAGCUGGUUCUCCCCGAAAGCUAUUUAGGUAGCGCCUCGGACGAAUACCAUAGGGGGUAGAGCACUGUUUCGGCUAGGGGGUCAUCCCGACUUACCAAACCGAUGCAAACUCCGAAUACCUAUGAGUACUAUCCGGGAGACAGACUGCGGGUGCUAACGUCCGUAGUCAAGAGGAAAACAAUCCAGACCGCCAGCUAAGGCCCCAAAAUCAUAGUUAAGUGGGAAACGAUGUGGGAAGGCAUAGACAGCUAGGAGGUUGGCUUAGAAGCAGCCACCCUUUAAAG